RNAcentral lists this ribosomal RNA (643 nucleotides) under uncultured Arthrobacter sp. Its description in RNAcentral is "bacterial SSU rRNA". It matches the Rfam family "Bacterial small subunit ribosomal RNA", at positions 197 to 846 of the family's 1533-position model. Lineage: Bacteria; Bacillati; Actinomycetota; Actinomycetes; Micrococcales; Micrococcaceae. The record is from RNAcentral.
UGGUGGAAAGCUUUUGCGGUUUUGGAUGGACUCGCGGCCUAUCAGCUUGUUGGUGGGGUAAUGGCCUACCAAGGCGACGACGGGUAGCCGGCCUGAGAGGGUGACCGGCCACACUGGGACUGAGACACGGCCCAGACUCCUACGGGAGGCAGCAGUGGGGAAUAUUGCACAAUGGGCGAAAGCCUGAUGCAGCGACGCCGCGUGAGGGAUGACGGCCUUCGGGUUGUAAACCUCUUUCAGUAGGGAAGAAGCCGCAAGGUGACGGUACCUGCAGAAGAAGCGCCGGCUAACUACGAGCCAGCAGCCGCGGUAAUACGUAGGGCGCAAGCGUUAUCCGGAAUUAUUGGGCGUAAAGAGCUCGUAGGCGGUUUGUCGCGUCUGCCGUGAAAGUCCGGGGCUCAACUCCGGAUCUGCGGUGGGUACGGGCAGACUAGAGUGAUGUAGGGGAGACUGGAAUUCCUGGUGUAGCGGUGAAAUGCGCAGAUAUCAGGAGGAACACCGAUGGCGAAGGCAGGUCUCUGGGCAUUAACUGACGCUGAGGAGCGAUAAUGCAUGGGGAGCGAACAGGAUUAGAUACCCAUGGUAGUCCAUGCCGUAAACGUUGGGCACUAGGUGUGUGGGGUACAUUCCACGUUUUCCGCGC